CGUCUAUAUACGUAUAGCAUAUCAAUAAGCGGAGGAAAAGAAACUAACAAGGAUUCCCUUAGUAACGGCGAGUGAAGCGGGAAGAGCUCAAAUUUGAAAUCUUCAAGGUUUUACCUUGACGAAUUGUAGUUUAAAGAAGUGUUUUCUGUUGAAGUUUCGGUAAAAGUUCUUUGGAAUAGGACAUCAUAGAGGGUGAGAAUCCCGUAUUUGACCAGUUAUUUUCCAGCUGUGUGAUACACUUUCAAAGAGUCGGAUUGUUUGGGAAUGCAGUCCAAAAUGGGUGGUAAAUUUCAUCUAAAGCUAAAUACUGGCGAGAGACCGAUAGCGAACAAGUACCGUGAGGGAAAGAUGAAAGGAACUUUGAAAAGAGAGUUAAACAGUACGUGAAAUUGUCAAAAGGGAAGCGUUUGACACCAGUGUUGUUUUCUCGAAAAUCAAUUAAAAAUGGCGGGAUUUUGUGUUGUAUUGACUUUAUCAGCUUUCUGCACUUUUUUCCUAUCUUUUUUAAUGCACUUUUCGUUUAACAAGUCAACAUCAAUUUCUUUUGUUGUAAAUGGGUCAUUGGAAGGUGGCUUUCUUUUCGGAGAAAGUGUUUAUAGCCUUUGGACUUCUGCAAUCGGAGAGAUUGGGGUCUGCAGCGUAGAUCCCUUCGGGGUUAGAUACAUUUGUGCUAAGUUAUAGCCUUUCAUAGACAACUUGUUGACUAUGAUCAGUCAUGUAGCUUACUCGCUUAUGUCUAUUUUACCUACGCUUAGGAUGUUGACGAUCAGCUGAGCGCG
This 779-nucleotide ribosomal RNA is filed under the name uncultured Neocallimastigales. RNAcentral's name for it is "partial large subunit ribosomal RNA". It matches the Rfam family "Eukaryotic large subunit ribosomal RNA", at positions 26 to 627 of the family's 3401-position model. Lineage: Eukaryota; Fungi; Neocallimastigomycota; Neocallimastigomycetes; Neocallimastigales. The record is from RNAcentral.